This 485-nucleotide ribosomal RNA is filed under the name uncultured bacterium. Its description in RNAcentral is "bacterial SSU rRNA". It matches the Rfam family "Bacterial small subunit ribosomal RNA", at positions 28 to 516 of the family's 1533-position model. The record is from RNAcentral.
GAUGAACGCUGGCGGCGUGCUUAACACAUGCAAGUCGAACGAAGCAAUAUUACAGAAGCCUUCGGGUGGAAGAAAUAUUGACUGAGCGGCGGACGGGUGAGUAACGCGGGGGUAACCUGCCUCAUACAGGGGGAUAACAGUAAGAAAUGGCUGCUAAUACCGCAUAAGCGCACGAUAUCGAAUGGUCUAGUGUGAAAAGCUCCGGCAGUAUGAGAUGGACCCGCGUCUGAUUAGCUAGUUGGUAAGGUAAGGGCUUACCAAGGCGACGAUCAGCAGCCGACCUGAGAGGGUGACCGGCCACAUUGGGACUGAGACACGGCCCAAACUCCUACGGGAGGCAGCAGUGGGGGAUAUUGCACAAUGGGGGAAACCCUGAUGCAGCGACGCCGCGUGAGUGAAGACGGCCUUCGGGUUGUAAAGCCCUGUUGACGAAGGAAGUGACGGUACCUGAAGAAUAAGCUCCGGCUAACUACGUGCCAGCAGCC